ACUUUUAAUGGAAAACAGGCAUCCGCUGGUUUUAGGAGCC
This 40-nucleotide transfer RNA is filed under the name Trioceros nyirit. Its description in RNAcentral is "partial tRNA-Leu". The record is from RNAcentral. Lineage: Eukaryota; Metazoa; Chordata; Lepidosauria; Squamata; Chamaeleonidae.